RNAcentral lists this transfer RNA (77 nucleotides) under Bacilli bacterium. RNAcentral describes it as "tRNA-Arg". It matches the Rfam family "tRNA". From Rfam's summary of the family: Transfer RNA (tRNA) molecules are approximately 80 nucleotides in length. Their secondary structure includes four short double-helical elements and three loops (D, anti-codon, and T loops). Lineage: Bacteria; Bacillati; Bacillota; Bacilli. The record is from RNAcentral.
GCGCUUGUAGCUCAACUGGAUAGAGCGUCAGAUUCCGGUUCUGAAGGCUACGGGUUCAAGUCCUGUCAAGCGCGCCA